UACAGAGGGGGCAAGCGUUGUUCGGAAUUACUGGGCGUAAAGCGCGCGCAGGCGGCCCUUUAAGUCUACCCGUGAAAUGCCGGAGCUCAACUCCGUGCACGCCGGGGGAUACUGGGGGGCUGGAGACAUGUAGAGGCAAGCGGAAUUCCGGGUGUAGCGGUGGAAUGCGUAGAGAUCCGGAAGAACACCUGAGGCGAAGGCGGCUUGCUGGGCAUGAUCUGACGCUGAGGCGCGAAAGCGUGGGGAGCAAACAGG
RNAcentral lists this ribosomal RNA (255 nucleotides) under uncultured bacterium. Its description in RNAcentral is "partial 16S ribosomal RNA". It matches the Rfam family "Bacterial small subunit ribosomal RNA", at positions 524 to 776 of the family's 1533-position model. The record is from RNAcentral.